Long non-coding RNA from Pygocentrus nattereri (red-bellied piranha), 915 nucleotides. RefSeq lists it as uncharacterized. The record is from RefSeq and is a predicted model, not a curated record. The transcript is spliced from 2 exons. Lineage: Eukaryota; Metazoa; Chordata; Actinopteri; Characiformes; Serrasalmidae.
CAUUGUUCUCAGCACACACAAAAUCACACAAUACCUCAACCACAUAAAUACCUCAAGUAUGCACCGGAGAGGUUGGGUGGUGGUGGCCGCAAGAGUGUAUAAUGACCUUCUACUGGAUCAAACACAGUCAGUGUGAAGCAUCUCUACUCAGCACAAUCUGACCUCAUCUGACCACCAACACACCACAACCACACAACCAAACAAUGUCUUUCAUUUGAAGAUCCUCACAUUAGAUCUAACAGUUAAGACACUCCAAAGCAGCCCUACACUGAACUGGGGGGUAUUUUCUCAGUAAGCUGGACCACGUCCUGUCCAAUAGGAAUGUUCUGCUCCUCUCUUAUUGUACAGACUUGCUCUUUGGCUUAUUUUAUCAUGCAAGCGCUCCAGGCUGAACUAUUUACAUGCCAAGACACGCCCCUGACCACAAACAUGACUCAGUACUGAGGGAUUUACAUUCACAUCACACCCGUUCCAGUUUCACUGGUCCACACGUUUCUUUAUGAGACAGAAAUUAAACCUAAUGCUCCAUGUUAGUCAGUGAGCGUUGAAGAUGUUCUCGCUCAGUGACUGUAAACCAUGUGACUGGUCCCAAACCGGUCUGACAGCAGAACUUUUAAGCUGUAAACAGUCUGAAGACACUACAGAUGAGUUACAUGCACGUGGCUGUAAAAGGGAUGAUGAAGGUUAAAAACUGUAUUACCUGAAGUUUCAGUAGAUCUUCCUACAGGAUGUUACCAAUACAGUUAGAGCUUUAACGUGAGGGAGAAGAAGUGAAGGUGUCUGAGGGUCUUUCAUUUCAGCCUGAUUCCCCUCAUUACUGCACCAGCCAUGAACAACAACAACAAAUGAUAGACUACUGCAGAUUCUGAACGUCGACAAAUGAGGGCUGUCAAUCAUUAAAACAGUUAACCCUGA